CCACCCCCAGGCCCCAAGAGCAUCUCCUCUCGCUCAGCCUCCUCCCCACCCCCUGGGCGACGGGGGAGCUGGGCCUUGUCCAGCGGGUCCCCCACCGCCAGUCUGCGCUCCCCGCAGGCGGCCUGGCUCUGGGCGUCCAGCCCCGCUCCCCAGCCACCGCCUGCGUACCCGGUUCCUGGGGAACAGCACGCGCCGAGGCAAACCCAGGUGCUUCCGCUGUUGCAGUUGCAGCGCCCAGCUGAUGCCAAGAAAAGGAGGUUGUGCUCAGCGGCUUGGUGCCGUGGCUGCUUCGCCUUCCCUGCCCCCACCCAAGACUGGGGGGGAGGGGCUGGUUAGCACUAGAGUCCAGCCUUAAAUUGGAGUUUCGAGCGUCUGCGUUUGGCCUAACAAAGCUCUUGCUGUAGGACUGGUGUUCCUCACGCCUGCCCUGCAGUAUUCUGCGCUGGCUCUAGUCCAGUUUCGCUCCCAGCUCGAGGCCCUGUGGUCAUUUCCCCUUCUAGCUCCAUCUCAUAGAGUUAUGGACUGUGGCAGCCAUGGACUUGCAUACAUCACGCAAGACAAAUCUUUUCCUCGCCCCCUGAAUUGCAGCAUGCAGUUGGAAGGCAUCAGCAAAAGGGACAAAAUCUGCUGCUGUAGGAUUUCCAAGCAGUUGCACCAGAGUGCCCGCAGAGUCCAGCCCCUUGGCACAAAUUCAGGUGAAGCUUGCUGAAGAGUAGAAGGGGCAUUGUUUAAAGAUACGUCGAGGGCUGUACUGUGGCUUUUAACUACAGCCCUCUGUUGAGGGCAGGGAGAAGCUGCACAAACUCAGCAGGCUUGACCAGUGACCCUUGGCCUGAUCCUAUGGAGAUUAUGAGGCAAGAUUAAUUUAUAUAUCAGUGACAAUAAUACUGUUAGCAGCAGUUAUAAGUGAUUUACAAAUAGUUGAAAUACACAUAGUGAAACAUAUAAAAUAGUAAAUAUUAUCAAGAUAAGAUGUAGGGUUGACAGUUUUGGUUAGACAUAUUCCUGGAGGUUUCAUCACGACAUACUUUUUAAUCAAUCUUUAAUUCCUGGAGACUUCAGGACAAUUCUGGAGAGUUGGCAACCCUAAUAAGGUUGGCAAAAGGUUGAGGCCUGAGGCUUAGUAAUUAUUGGAUUUAACACAAGUGCUUCACCUAAGGUCAUAAGAUUUAGCAACAUGUAGCUUGUGACAACUAAAUUGCAAAUGAGCAAAAAUAAAUUUAAAGUAGUAGCUUUUGGGGGGGAUUUUUGUGUACAUAUAUCUAUGGAGCUAACCACAUUGACAUAGUGAAAGCAUUGAAAAGGGGUUGACGCAGAUAACUUAGGCCAGCUUUGGACGUUUAUGGUGCUCCAGAAUACCAAACAAGGUCAGUAGGAAUACCACUUAUGGGCAAGGGGCUGAAACUCAUCAAAGAGGGUCCCAGACGUGUGUGGGAGAAAAGUUGUGUAAAGACAGUGUUUGCCUAACCUUAGUUAGACACAACAGGAUUGACUAGGUUGGUGUAAACUGGAAUGUCGCCUCUCACUUAUGGUGUACUCCACUGACUACCUUCUUCUAUCUGUGCUUUCCACAGUCUCCAGGAGCUUGUGAGUAUGACAGCACUAGGGACUUUUUUGUCUGUAUGUAUCUGGUUUUGGUUCAGUUGCAUUAAUGCUCGUAUUUAUUUGGAUUUUAAAUAAAGUUUUCAUGUCUAUGUGAUUAUACUUAUGUCAUUCACCAAACUUGUUUAUUAUAGUUUAUGUAGCUGCUGAGUGGGUGGGUGAGAUUCUGUGGCCUGCGUUGUGCCGGAGGUCAGACUAGACGAUCAUAAUGAUCCCUUCUGACCUUAAAAUCUAUGAUUCUAUGAAAAACUUGUUAUCUAUGACAGGUGGAUUUGCACCCUGAAUUAAUUCUAAGGCUACAGCAGGCUUACUGGAAGGCUUUGUGCCUCAGAGAGCCUUCCAGUUUGCAGGAAGAGCACUACCAUGGUGUACCCCCGGCUUCCUCCUCCCCCCCCCCCCGCCUGUUUUGGGGUGGCUUGUGUCUGAAAGUGUGCUGGCAAGAAGCAGUCCAGAAAACAAAGGGUCUGAACUGGUUAGGGUUGCCAGCCAUCCAAGAAUGAAAGAUCAAUUUUUAAUUAAAGAUUAUGUCACGUGAUGAAACCUCCAGGAAUACAUCCAACCAAAACUGGCAGCCCUAAACUGUGGCAGGCCCUUUCGUGGGGAUAGAGAGGGUGCAGUUUCUAAAAAGAUCCCUUGAACUUUUCCUCUGUGUGCACUUUUGUAAGGAUUGCUUACUGUAAUUAAAGUUUCCAUUAUUUGCGCUUUUAUCAGUGCUUCAGUUGUUUGUAUAAGUAUCUCUGAAAGCAUACAACACAUUAUAUGACAGGAAUACCUCAUUUAUGCAUAUAGAUCUAUAUCUUUUUUUAAUUGUGUGCGUAUUAUAAAACAUUAAACAUAUAUCAAUAAAACUCUAUUUGCUCACUUACUAAAUUAUUAUUUAUAAAUGCAAAGAGUUUGUUUAUAAAUCUGUGUGCUUUUUUGAGCUGGUUUGCAAACCCAUUGCCUUCUCUUUUAAAUCCUUCCUGAAGACCCACUUUCAUAAAGCAUACAACAGAUUUGUUGAUUAGGUCUUCUACUUAUUCAGACUAUUUAUUUUAUCAUCUUAAAAAAAUUCUCUGCUCCAUCCUGCCGUGCACUAGCCUUCACUGAACAACCAUGUAAUCUUACUGAUGUGAAUGCUGUCCUUUCUCCAUUGUGCAUUGUGACAAUUUUUGUUGUGUUGUGUCUGAAAUUAGUUUUUAAGAUCUGCACUGCAGUGGUCCUGUCUUAUUUUUUUCUGUACUGAGUAGUACUUUGUAUAUUUUUGGGCCCUAUCAAUCAGGAUCCUGUACCUUAGCAAGAUAGUUCUGACAUAGAUGAUCUAAUACUUUAUCUUUACAAUUGUUUCUA
Dermochelys coriacea (leatherback sea turtle) is the source of this 2931-nucleotide long non-coding RNA. RefSeq lists it as uncharacterized. NCBI's taxonomy places the organism in Eukaryota, Metazoa, Chordata, Testudines, Dermochelyidae. The transcript has 3 exons. The record is from RefSeq and is a predicted model, not a curated record.